CCUACGGGGUGCUGCAGUGAGGAAUAUUGGUCAAUGGCCGUAAGGCUGAACCAGCCAAGUAGCGUGAGGGAAGACUGCCCUAUGGGUUGUAAACUUCUUUUAUUCGGGACGAAACAAAUGACGGUACCGAAUGAAUAAGCCACGGCUAACUACGUGCCAGCAGCCGCGGUAAUACGUAGGUGGCAAGCGUUAUCCGGAUUUACUGGGUGUAAAGGGCGUGUAGGCGGGAGAGCAAGUCAGACGUGAAAUUCCAGGGCUCAACCCUGGAACUGCGUUUGAAACUGUUCUUCUUGAGUGAUGGAGAGGCAGGCGGAAUUCCGGGUGUAGCGGUGAAAUGCGUAGAUAUACGGAGGAACACCAGUGGCGAAGGCGGCCUGCUGGACAUUAACUGACGCUGAGGCGCGAAAGCGUGGGGAGCAAACAGGAUUAGAUACCCUUGUAGUC
This 444-nucleotide ribosomal RNA is filed under the name uncultured bacterium. RNAcentral's name for it is "partial 16S ribosomal RNA". It matches the Rfam family "Bacterial small subunit ribosomal RNA", at positions 338 to 795 of the family's 1533-position model. The record is from RNAcentral.